UACGUAGGAUGCUAGCGUUGUCCGGAUUUACUGGGCGUAAAGCGCGCGCAGGCGGCACACCAAGUACGCAGUGAAAUCUCCCUGCUCAACGGGGAGGGUGCUGAGUAAACUGGUGAGCUAGAGGACGGUAGAGGGGGGUGGAAUUGCUGGUGUAGCGGUGAAAUGCGUAGAGAUCAGCAGGAACACCCGUGGCGAAGGCGGCCCCCUGGGCCGAACCUGACGCUGAGGAGCGAAAGCGUGGGGAGCGAACAGG
This 253-nucleotide ribosomal RNA is filed under the name uncultured bacterium. RNAcentral's name for it is "partial 16S ribosomal RNA". It matches the Rfam family "Bacterial small subunit ribosomal RNA", at positions 524 to 776 of the family's 1533-position model. The record is from RNAcentral.